AAUUUGAUCGCAUCACUUAACAUAUGAAUGGGCCCCACCAAUGUCCCGGGCGCGUGGGUGGUCUUGUACCGAGACAGCGACUUAGGGCAACAACUCGUUUGUCUCACGCGCUUGUCGGUCGCAUGAGUGGACUGGGACGGUAGUUCUCAGUGCUGUAUGUAUGUACCUGGUUUCUCAGUUCACGAAGAUAUACAGUAGAGCCUUGGUCCAGAGUUAAUGCCCAUCAUAGGGCAGGUGUGGAUACGUGUCCAGCUUCUGACCGUCGAUUGCAUGCAUCAUGGGACAAGUGAUGGACUUUUUCAAACAAAAAUGGUACCUUUUUCUCUUUAGUUUUUUCAUAAUCAUUCAUUACUAGUACUUAAAUAUUAUAAAAUAAUUGAUUUUUAAAGCUUAAUAAUUGGAUUUUAGUUGGUAUUGAGUAUUGGAUUUUCGUUGGUUGGGUACCAUCUUUUUACCUCCGUGUGUCCAAUGACAUUCUUUCUGGUACAAUCUUGAACGUUGUGGUUAUCUUCCUUUUUACUUUUUAUUUUUUAUUUUCGGGUGCAAUGCAAUGGUUUAUCUUCUUGAGAUUUGUAUAGGCUUUGGGUGUGUUGGAAGCCGUUUAAGUUAUUUUAACUCUUGGUCUGCUCGAGGGAUUCACUUUUUUCUUGUUUUUUUCACUACUCUUGGCUUUUUAAGGCUCUUGAAUUGCCUGCUUUGUUGUCUCUCUUUCUCUCUCUCUCUCUCUCUCUCUCUCUCUUGCGCAGCUUCCUCCUUGAAAGUGAUAUUUCUUUCCUUUGCAUGUUACUAUUUUUUUUUUUUUCAUUUCUGGGUUGGUGUGGGAUUAUCUUCUGUCUACCUUGUAGGGUUUGGAUAUGGCAACUGAUGCCUCAGAUGUUUCUAGUUGCUUGACUUCUUCGAGUUUUCUUCUUGUUAAGUUUGAGUUUGUUUGUCUUUUCUUGCAUUUUCUUCUUCUUCUUCUUCUUCUUCUUGUUUUUUGAGCUUUGGGUUUCUUUAAAAGCAGAACUCUUCAUCAUGCACCAUUUAGUUGAAAAAGUUAGAAAAAACAGAAGAGAAAUUCAAAUUAUACUUCUUUUGUUAUGUUUUCUAACGAUUGAGAUUCAGUUUAGAUGUGACAGGAACCCUUAUAUGGAAGAUUCCUCCUUUUCUUUACAUCAGAUUCAAUCUGUAACAUUUAAGGUUGAAGGUUUGUGGUUUGACUAUUUUCUUAGACUCUUUGUGAAACAAUCUAUGAUUUGAAGUCUAAGUUUGACUUGCAAAGCAGUUUGAGUAAGUAAGAUAACAUAAAAUUUUGUGGAACUUUUUAUUCUUGGGUAUUAGAUUUGAUGGAACUUCCUUUGCUUUCGAGAUGGACAAGAUCCUUGAUCACUCACUUAUAUAUAAUUACUCUAUGAUUUUUCAACAUUUUAUUGACUGUUAAAUUCCUCUUGAAGCUUUUCUACUUCUAGAGUAUAAUAUAUAUAUCUUCUUUUUUUUUUAGAGAUCUAAAGUAGAAGUUUUUAAGUAUAGUAUUGGAGGUUAAAUAUAAAAGAUGUCUUGGGGUUCUAGAAAAUUUUCUUAUCAUGAACUCAAGUUAAGGUUUCUGAUAGUAUUUUGCAUGUGAUACUGUGUGCGCUCAAUUUUAUGUUGUAUGUUUUGUUUUCUAGAAGAUCAUUAUUGAUCUGUAAUUUCUAAUUGUAGAGUAGGUCUUAGUUCUCCUUAGUUCAAGGAUAUAUUAGGCUUCGAUCUCUGUGGGUGACACUGCUGUUGUCUUGUGGCUUUAUCUUUGUGUUCCCUUUUCUUUACUUUUAUUUUCACCCAAAUUUAUUUGCGUAUUACAUGAUUCAUGUGUAGAAAUCCCAUGUCAGAUUUCAUGACAAUUGCUGGGGUUGUUAAAACAGAUUGCUUUAAUUUUUCAGUUACUGAUGUAUGAGCCGAGCUAUGAUUGACGUUGUUUGACGACGAGAGAGAGCACGCUUGUCGGCACCCAUGAAAGGGCCAUGGAUGUUUACGGGCGUGCUCUCUCUUGUUGUCAUACAGUCUAUCUGCUGGUUCGGAUCUUUGGAAUUUGAUCAACCUGCAGGGAUGACAAUGGACUGGCGGUGGAGUAAGGAAUUGGGUUUUGGUAGCGUUGUAAUGUGCGGGGUUGGUGGUGGCAUAUGUAGUGGACCCUGCAAGAUGAAGUGGUACGUCCUCUUCGAUGAUUUGAACCCACAAGUGCCUCUUACCAAAAAAAACUACAGUGUUUGAAUGGUCACUGGGAGUUGGAUGGGCUGAAGACCGAGGAACGUUCCCUUGAUAUGCUUCAACCAGCUUCUAAAGGUUGUGGAUUUAACUUUUUAAAAAAUUUAUCCUCACUCUAUUUAUAAGGUUGUUAGAGAGUCAUGUUGCAUCUCCCUGCCAACUGUUUGAUCCAUUUCUGUAGGCAUACAUAUUCAGGCUCUGAAACUGCGGUAUAUGACCUUUGGCUUAUUAUUCAAUCAGUUUACUCUCGAAGCCUGGACAGUGACAAAACCAGGUGGUUUGAGAAUUGGGGUGUCAAACGUCCUUUUAAUUAUACUUUUUUUGUGGGUUCUAAUGAUCAGUUGAUGGAUGCCAUUUUUGUGUUCGUGAAUGAAAGAAAGUGGCUUAUAUGUAGAUUGAAAACUUGAGUACUUCUUGUUAUGAGAUGCUCUCUUCUGUGCC
Prunus persica (peach) is the source of this 2664-nucleotide long non-coding RNA. RefSeq lists it as uncharacterized. NCBI's taxonomy places the organism in Eukaryota, Viridiplantae, Streptophyta, Magnoliopsida, Rosales, Rosaceae. The transcript is spliced from 5 exons. The record is from RefSeq and is a predicted model, not a curated record.